This 233-nucleotide unclassified non-coding RNA is filed under the name plant metagenome. Its description in RNAcentral is "partial contains small subunit ribosomal RNA, internal transcribed spacer 1, and 5.8S ribosomal RNA". The stretch from base 1 to 54 matches the Rfam family "Eukaryotic small subunit ribosomal RNA", at positions 1778 to 1831 of the family's 1831-position model. The record is from RNAcentral.
GGGAGUAAAAGUCGUAACAAGGUUUCCGUAGGUGAACCUGCGGAAGGAUCAUUCAUAAUAAAGUGUUUUAUGGCACUUUUUAAAAAUCCAUAUCCACCUUGUGUGCAAUGUUAGAUCUCGUCAAUCUUGGCGAGAUUUUUAUACAUCAACUCAUUCUUUAACUAAUUUGUCUGAAAAAUAUUAUGAAUACUUAAUUCAAAAUACAACUUUCAACAACGGAUCUCUUGGCUCUC